Rosa rugosa (rugosa rose) is the source of this 1196-nucleotide RNA transcript. It is a transcript of the gene named L-ascorbate peroxidase 2, cytosolic, with no coding region annotated. NCBI's taxonomy places the organism in Eukaryota, Viridiplantae, Streptophyta, Magnoliopsida, Rosales, Rosaceae. The transcript has 9 exons. The record is from RefSeq and is a predicted model, not a curated record.
CCCUUUCUGCGUCUCUGCUCGAUCUCUACUCAGUUCCCGAGCACCGGUGAUCAACCAGUGUCAUUCCGAGUAUUCAGACUCCACAAUAAUUUUCAGAUAAACGGUUUGUUCUUUUUUCAUGGCGAAGUGCUAUCCAACUGUGAGCGAGGAGUACCAGAAAGCGGUUGAGAAAUGCAAGAGAAAGCUGAGAGGACUGAUCCAAGAGAAGCACUGCGCUCCUAUAAUUCUCCGAGUGGCGUGGCACUCGGCUGGGACGUUCGAUGUGGCAACGAAGACCGGAGGGCCGUUCGGGACGAUCAGGGACCCGGCGGAACUGACUCAUGAAGCAAACAAGGGACUCGAGAUUGCAGUCAGGAUUUUGGAGCCGAUCAAGGAGCAGUUUCCGAUUCUCUCAUACGCAGACUUCUACCAGUUGGCUGGAGUAGUAGCUGUAGAAGUAACAGGAGGGCCAGAGAUUCCUUUCCACCCUGGUAGACCGGACAAAGAAGCACCACCACCGGAAGGUCGCUUGCCUGAUGCCAAGAAAGGUGUGGAUCAUCUGAGGGAUGUAUUUGGUGGCCAUAUGGGUCUCAGUGAUAAGGACAUUGUUGCACUAUCUGGUGGACACACCUUGGGUAGGUGCCACAUGGAGCGCUCUGGAUUUGAGGGACCCUGGACAACCAAUCCCCUCAUUUUUGACAACUCCUAUUUCAAGGAACUUAUUAGUGGAGAGAAGGAAGGUCUGAUCCAGCUCCCAUCAGAUAAGGCUCUUCUUGAGGAUCCAGUUUUUCGUACUUUUGUCGAGACCUAUGCUGCGGUUUGUAUCUUCUAAUCCAUUGUGUAAUCUUGGAUGAGGAUGCUUUCUUUGCUGACUAUGCUGAAGCCCGUUUGAAGCUCUCAGAGCUUGGAUUUGCAGAUACUGAGUGAAGGAAUUGUAAACAAGCUAGGUGGUGCCUUGUAUGAAUUCUCCUAUACUAAUAGACUGAAUUUUUGCUUGUAAUACUUUGUGCUGUAUAUUUGGUUUUUUGGCAAUGCCCAUAGAAGGCAAGCUAUAAUAACACGGCAGCUGCACUGCUAAACUAGUUGGGGAGUUGGGCAAACUAGUGUUUAUAAUCUCUUGUGUUUGAAAAUUGGAGUGGCAGUUAUGUUUUUGUCUUUGUUGCUAAAUGUACCAAUCAAAUUUCUUAAUGUACUCAACAUUUCAAUAUUUUGCUUCA